GUCAUAUGCUUGUCUCAAAGAUUAAGCCAUGCAUGUCUCAGUACAAGCCAAAUUAAGGUGAAACCGCGAAAGGCUCAUUAAAUCAGUUAUGGUUCCUUAGAUCGUACCAACAAUUACUUGGAUAACUGUGGUAAUUCUAGAGCUAAUACAUGCAAACAGAGCUCCGACCGGAGACGGAAGGAGUGCUUUUAUUAGAUCAAAACCAAUCGGUGGCGGGUUCGCGCUCGUCAUCGUACAACUUGGUGACUCUGAAUAACUUUACGCUGAUCGCACGGUCAUCGCACCGGCGACGCAUCUUUCAAAUGUCUGCCUUAUCAACUGUCGAUGGUAGGUUCUGCGCCUACCAUGGUCGUAACGGGUAACGGGGAAUCAGGGUUCGAUUCCGGAGAGGGAGCCUGAGAAACGGCUACCACAUCCAAGGAAGGCAGCAGGCGCGCAAAUUACCCACUCCCGGCACGGGGAGGUAGUGACGAAAAAUAACGAUACGGGACUCAUCCGAGGCCCCGUAAUCGGAAUGAGUACACUCUAAACCCUUUAACGAGGAUCAAUUGGAGGGCAAGUCUGGUGCCAGCAGCCGCGG
Molecule: ribosomal RNA, 580 nt
Filed under: Psepholax cf. egerius/mastersii MB-2015
Lineage: Eukaryota; Metazoa; Arthropoda; Insecta; Coleoptera; Curculionidae
Description: SSU rRNA
Rfam family: Eukaryotic small subunit ribosomal RNA
Source: RNAcentral